UACGAAGGGGGCUAGCGUUGCUCGGAAUCACUGGGCGUAAAGCGCACGUAGGCGGACUCUUAAGUCGGGGGUGAAAUCCUGGAGCUCAACUCCAGAACUGCCUUCGAUACUGGGAGUCUUGAGUUCGGGAGAGGUGAGUGGAACUGCGAGUGUAGAGGUGAAAUUCGUAGAUAUUCGGAGGAACACCAGUGGCGAAGGCGGCUCACUGGUCCGGUACUGACGCUGAGGUGCGAAAGCGUGGGGAGCAAACAGG
RNAcentral lists this ribosomal RNA (253 nucleotides) under uncultured bacterium. RNAcentral describes it as "partial 16S ribosomal RNA". It matches the Rfam family "Bacterial small subunit ribosomal RNA", at positions 524 to 776 of the family's 1533-position model. The record is from RNAcentral.